Molecule: long non-coding RNA, 2426 nt
Organism: Pogoniulus pusillus (Red-fronted tinkerbird)
Lineage: Eukaryota; Metazoa; Chordata; Aves; Piciformes; Lybiidae
Exons: 2
Source: RefSeq, a predicted model, not a curated record
ACCCUCUGCUGCUGCUGCCAUGGGUUGCAACCCUCUGCUGCCGCUGCUGACAUGGGCUGCAACCCUCAGCUGCUGCUGCAACUCCUGCUGCUGCCGUGGGCUCCAACCCCCUGCUGCUGCAGCAACCCUCUGCUGCUGCUGCACCUCCUGCUGCAGGCUGCAACCCUCUGCUGCUGCAGGCUGCAACCCUCUGCUGCUGCUGCAACCCUCUGCUGCUGCAGGCUGCAACCCUCUGCUGCUGCAGGCUGCAACCCUCUGCUGCUGCUGCACCUCCUGCUGCAGGCUGCAACCCUCUGCUGCUGCAGGCUGCAACCCUCUGCUGCUGCAGGCUGCAACCCUCUGCUGCUGCAGGCUGCAACCCUCUGCUGCUGCAGGCUGCAACCCUCUGCUGCUGCAGGCUGCAACCCUCUGCUGCUGUUGCAGGCUGCACCCCCCUGCUGCUGCCACAGCCUCCACCUGCUGCCAGAGGUUGCAAUGCUGAAGCUCAGAGGCUGCCGUGGAGCAAGCUGGCCCUGAGGAGCUGCUGUGCUGGGGCUGACAGGGAGCUGGGAAGCAGCUGGGGGGUGGCUGCCUGCUGGGGGGGGGCCGUGGCUGUGACCAGGACUCUCCUGGGCAAUCCUUACCUCAUUUUGUGUGUGUCUGAGCUGUGUCGUUGCCUUUGGACAGACAGAGGAUGUUUCUCUGUCCCUUAGCAACCCCUUUUUAGCCUCUGUCUGGUAUUUAUUAGCAGCCAGUGGCCCUUCUGCCCCCCCAGCAGUCAGUGCCAUGCCUACUGAGCCCCUGCAGUGCCCUCCUGCCUGCCUGAGCUGGUGCCCAAGUGCAGCAGCCCUGGCACUGCAACCGAGCCACAGCUAAACACAGGCAGCAGCCUCUGCCAGCUGCCUGCUGCUGCCUCCUCCUUGCUCAGAGCUGACUUUGCUCCCAGCCAAGCCUGCAGAGGCUCAGAGGGAAGCUCAGGCCCAUAGGCCUUGGGGUUGUAGUGACCAAAGACCAGAGGAGCUCAGGCUCAGCAGUCCUCAGCUGAGCUCCACUCUGCUGCUGAGGUUGUUCCACUGCCAGCAGGCAGCUGAGCUGUGGCUGGAUGAGUGCAUUCUGGCAGAAGGUUUUUCCCUCCUCUUCCUCACUCCACUGGUAGGAGGCUGUAGCCAGCCCUGUCCUGGCUCUGUCUGCUGAGCACCCUCUGUGUGCACCUUCUGCUGAGGAGCCCAGAGCAAUGCUGGGGCACCUCUGGCCUUGCAGGGUGCAGCAGUGACAUGGCCAAGGCCACCUCCUUUCUAGCCUUGAAGGCAGUUGGGCACCACCUCUUUGAGGGGCACCAACCCUGUGAGGGGUACCACCCCUUUGGGGGGCACCCCCCUGUGGGGGACACCCCUCAGGCCAGAAGGCUGCCUUGACCCCCAAUGUCUGUGCUGCCUCAGCCCCUAUGGAUUGAAAGGACUGAAAGCUUUGCAGAGAGCCUGAAUGCCUGAGCCAGGUGGGAUGGAGCUGCCCAGAGCCUGUCUGGGUGUCUGAGCCAGGUGGAAGGGAGCUGCCCAGAGCCUGUCUGGGUGUCUGAGCCAGGUGGAAGGGAGCUGCCCAGAGCCUGUCUGGGUGUCUGAGCCAGGUGGAAGGGAGCUGCCCAGAGCCUGUCUGGGUGUCUGAGCCAGGUGGAAGGGAGCUGCUGGGCAUGACCCCCCCCUGCAGAGCCACACUCAGGCAGCAGCCUGGGGACCAGCCCAGGCCCUGGGUCUGGCUGAGCUGCAGGUGGAAGCAGCUGAAGGCACCAGGCUGAGCAGGGUUAGGCUUUUUCCCUCUCCAGCUGUCCCCACGAGCAGGCAGCACACAGGCAGAGGUUGUCUCUGUGUGUGUGUGUGUGAGGGGCUGGGACUGAUGCCUGUGUUCAGCUGUGGCUGCUUUUAGGCCCUACCUGAAGGUUCCAAACUCACCUCCAAGCCCUGGAGCCCUCCCUCUGCAGCAGGAGAACAGGAAGAAGAGCAAAAGAGAGCAGUGCUGAGCAUGCAGCUGAGACAAAGCACCAGCAGCUCUUUGCCUUCAGCUCAGUGGCUGUACACAGACCCCUCCCCAGGGUGGCCAAUGCCCUCCCCAGGGUGGCAAAUGCCCUCCCAGCCCUCCUUGCCUCUGCCUGUGCAGCCCCAGCUGGCUUGGUUAGUGGGGACCAGUCUGUGUCUCGUCUCCUGUCGUGUGCUGUGUGCAGAUGUCUUUGACUUCUGUCUCUGUAGUGUUUUCUCACCUGGGGGUUGGGUUCUUUUCUUUGGGGCUUUUGGGGGUUGGUUUUUUUUUUCCCCCCUUUGGUUUUAUUUUUCCCUGGUUUUGGUUUGGGUUAUUUUGGGUUUGGGUUAUUUUGGGUUUGGGUUAUUUUGGGUUUGGGUUUAUUUUUGCUUUUGUAUCUCUCUCACCCUUUGAAUAAAAUCAAGUGCCCUACCUGA